GGGGCUGUAGCUCAGAUGGGAGAGUAUUUGUUUUGCAAUCAAGAGGUCGCGGGUUCGAAUCCCGCCAGCUCCACUA
Molecule: transfer RNA, 76 nt
Filed under: Clostridium sp. AF34-10BH
Lineage: Bacteria; Bacillati; Bacillota; Clostridia; Eubacteriales; Clostridiaceae
Description: tRNA-Ala
Rfam family: tRNA
About the family: Transfer RNA (tRNA) molecules are approximately 80 nucleotides in length. Their secondary structure includes four short double-helical elements and three loops (D, anti-codon, and T loops).
Source: RNAcentral